CUCUCCUCCCAUUCUCUCUGCUUAUGACUCAACAGCACCUGAAAGAACAGUGUACUGGUGGAGGGGUCCUGGCUUGGAGGCUUCCAGCCAGUAAAGACCGCAAAGAGCAUAUGGUCCCCACAUCUGUACCCUAGUGUUCAGAGUGGGGAAGGAACCUUGACACACUCCUUGAUUCACUUCAUCUUCCUAAGGAUUCCUAGGCCACUGUUGUUCCCCAGACUGUUUACAACUGCUUUAGAAAGGGAGUAUUUGUAUCCACCACAGACAGUGCUGGGUUGGUGGAUGUCUGUGUGCUGGGUCACAUUGCCAUUCCUGAUGAUCUGACAGCAGAGGAAUUUGAGGCCUUCUGGCAGUCAUGUGGAGACAGCAGGUGAGCUCACUGAUGUGGAACUUCUCAAGACAGUCACAGAUGCUAAGCACCCACCGGUUGAAGAGGCACAAGAGGAUAGCGCAUCACACGAGAACCUGAAGAGCCUUCUCUUCAAGAACAGAUAUGUGCUGUGUACAUUUUCCACAGGAUAUGCCAGAAUUGUGGCUUUGAAAUUGGCUAUGAAGCUGACCAAAAACUGAGAGGGAUUUACAGAUCAAGGUGGCAAAUUGUAAAAAGCCCACAACAUAGGACAAAAUUAAAAAAUUACUUGCUGUUUCAUUUUGUGUGACAUACCUGGAGCAUUGAUGGUAAGUAUAAUGACAUUCCUUUUUUAUUUUACACAGGUCUGUCCUGUAAACAGCUGGCAGGGAGGGAACAUAAAGUCUGAAUGUGAACAGACUUUACCAGUUAUUUCAGGCAACUACAUAAGGUAUUUUUGCAGUACUAAAGGAAACUAUUAUUGUAUGUUUGGAUUUUUCAUGUUUAUUUUCAACACUGUAUCAAACAUAAAUUUUGUUGACUAAUAUAUGCUGGGCUAUAUUUAUCAGUCGAUCAAUCAAUAGAUAAAUAUAUGCUGAGCUGUAUCUAUCUGUCACUAGAUGUUGGUAAAUCACAUUACCAACAUACAUUAUCCACACCAUAUAUAUUUUAUUAGUAUGUAUAUGUAAUGGGGUGCUCACCGCGCCCCACUGGGUUCAGUCUUCUGACCCCAUUCCUCAAUGAGUAAGGAGCACUCCAAGCUGGUGCAACACCCAUGCUCUUUAUUCCUGUGUCCAGUCCCCACCACCAAGCUCCAACUAUUUACAGAUUAUUUACAGGUUUGGCCUAGCACAGGCCUCAGUGGCAACAGGCUCCUGUAUCCUUCUGAGCCUACUCUCCCAUCCUGGUCUCCGUCUCCAUCCCCAUCCCCUGACUCAUUUCCUCCGAAGCUUUUAACCCUCUGUUAACGAGGCUGGCAGGUGUGGUCAGUUUCCAGGCCAGUCC
Chelonia mydas (Green sea turtle) is the source of this 1354-nucleotide long non-coding RNA. RefSeq lists it as uncharacterized. The record is from RefSeq and is a predicted model, not a curated record. Lineage: Eukaryota; Metazoa; Chordata; Testudines; Cheloniidae. The transcript has 2 exons.